AAUCAACGCUGGCGGCGUGCCUAACACAUGCAAGUCGAGCGAGAAAAGGGGAGCAAUCCUCUGAGUAAAGCGGCGCACGGGUGAGUAACACGUGGGUAAUCUGCCCUGGAGUGGGGAAUAACACCGGGAAACCGGUGCUAAUACCGCAUACGAUCACGAUGUCUGCGGACGUUGUGAUGAAAGGAGCAAUUCGCUCCAGGAGGAGCCCGCGGCUGAUAGCUAGUUGGUGAGGUAAUGGCUCACCAAGGCUACGAUCAGUAUCCGGUCUGAGAGGACGGUCGGACACACUGGAACUGAGACACGGUCCAGACUCCUACGGGAGGCAGCAGUGGGGAAUUUUUCGCAAUGGGGCAACCCUGACGAAGCAACGCCGCGUGGAUGAUGAAGUAUCUCGGUACGUAAAAUCCUUUCGACAGGGAAGAAACCCGCAAGGGUUGACGGUACCUGUAGAAGAAGCCCCGGCUAACUCCGU
Molecule: ribosomal RNA, 472 nt
Filed under: uncultured bacterium
Lineage: Bacteria
Description: bacterial SSU rRNA
Rfam family: Bacterial small subunit ribosomal RNA
Source: RNAcentral